Molecule: ribosomal RNA, 329 nt
Filed under: uncultured eukaryote
Lineage: Eukaryota
Description: partial 18S ribosomal RNA
Rfam family: Eukaryotic small subunit ribosomal RNA
Source: RNAcentral
CCCUUAGAUGUUCUGGGCCGCACGCGCGCUACACUGAUGCAUUCAACGAGUCUAAAACCUGCUCUGAUAGGGGUGGGUAAUCUUUUGAAUGUGCAUCGUGAUUGGGAUAGAUGAUUGCAAUUUUUCAUCUUCAACGAGGAAUGCCUAGUAAACGCAAGUCAUCAGCUUGCAUUGAUUACGUCCCUGCCCUUUGUACACACCGCCCGUCGCUCCUACCGAUUGAAUGAUCCGAUGAAUAUCAUGGAUUGAGGAUGCAAGUAGGUUCGCCUAUCUUCAUCUUCGAGAAGUGAAGUAAAUCUUAUCAUAUAGAGGAAGGAGAAGUCGUAACA